RNAcentral lists this ribosomal RNA (301 nucleotides) under uncultured bacterium. RNAcentral's name for it is "partial 16S ribosomal RNA". It matches the Rfam family "Bacterial small subunit ribosomal RNA", at positions 509 to 807 of the family's 1533-position model. The record is from RNAcentral.
CAGCAGCCGCGGUAAUACGUAGGUGGCAAGCGUUGUCCGGAAUUAUUGGGCGUAAAGGGCUCGCAGGCGGUUUCUUAGGUCUGAUGUGAAAGCCCCCGGCUCAACCGGGGAGGGUCAUUGGAAACUGGGAAACUUGAGUGCAGAAGAGGAGAGUGGAAUUCCACGUGUAGCGGUGAAAUGCGUAGAGAUGUGGAGGAACACCAGUGGCGAAGGCGACUCUCUGGUCUGUAACUGACGCUGAGGAGCGAAAGCGUGGGGAGCGAACAGGAUUAGAUACCCCUGUAGUCCCUGUCUCUUAUAC